GUAUUAAGUUUAUAGGUCAAUAGACCCACAAAAGACAUUCUAGACUUGUUUAAAGAGUGUAUAAAGACAUAGGCAUAUGAAGGGCAAGGGGAGCCAUAACAGCAAUCCCUUGAAACCGGUAACGAGACAAAGCUCACACACGAUAGGUAUCAUAGCCUACAAAAGGUGCACAGGGGGAAAAGUAGAAGAAUAGAGCGAGCACAGUACUCCUUUAACAGAGUCAGCUACAACCCUAACUGCUUCAGUAAUGAUCCUUCCGCAGGUUCACCUACGGAAA
Molecule: unclassified non-coding RNA, 277 nt
Filed under: uncultured fungus
Lineage: Eukaryota; Fungi
Description: sequence contains ITS1
Source: RNAcentral